Molecule: non-coding RNA, 72 nt
Organism: Podarcis lilfordi (Lilford's wall lizard)
Lineage: Eukaryota; Metazoa; Chordata; Lepidosauria; Squamata; Lacertidae
Source: the annotation of a GenBank genome assembly
GGGGGAUAGCUCAGUCGGUAGAACAUGAGACUUUUAAUCUAAGGGUUGUGGGUUUGAGCACCACAUUCAGCA